UACCAGACUCCUACGGGAGGCAGCAGUGGGGAAUAUUGCACAAUGGGGGAAACCCUGAUGCAGCGACGCCGCGUGAGCGAUGAAGUAUUUCGGUAUGUAAAGCUCUAUCAGCAGGGAAGAAAAUGACGGUACCUGACUAAGAAGCCCCGGCUAACUACGUGCCAGCAGCCGCGGUAAUACGUAGGGGGCAAGCGUUAUCCGGAUUUACUGGGUGUAAAGGGAGCGUAGACGGCUGUGCAAGCCAGAUGUGAAAGCCCGGGGCUCAACCCCGGGACUGCAUUUGGAACUGCGUGGCUUGAGUGUCGGAGAGGCAGGCGGAAUUCCUAGUGUAGCGGUGAAAUGCGUAGAUAUUAGGAGGAACACCAGUGGCGAAGGCGGCCUGCUGGACGAUGACUGACGCUGAGGCACGAAAGCGUGGGGAGCGAACAGGAUUAGAUACCCGUGUAAG
RNAcentral lists this ribosomal RNA (448 nucleotides) under uncultured bacterium. RNAcentral describes it as "bacterial SSU rRNA". It matches the Rfam family "Bacterial small subunit ribosomal RNA", at positions 329 to 793 of the family's 1533-position model. The record is from RNAcentral.